UGGGGAAUAUUGCACAAUGGGCGCAAGCCUGAUGCAGCCAUGCCGCGUGUGUGAAGAAGGCCUUCGGGUUGUAAAGCACUUUCAGCGAGGAGGAAGGUGGUGGACUUAAUACGUUCAUCAAUUGACGUUACUCGCAGAAGAAGCACCGGCUAACUCCGUGCCAGCAGCCGCGGUAAUACGGAGGGUGCAAGCGUUAAUCGGAAUUACUAGGCGUAAAGCGCACGCAGGCGGUUUGUUAAGUCAGAUGUGAAAUCCCCGGGCUCAACCUGGGAACUGCAUUUGAAAACUGGCAAGCUAGAGUCUCGUAGAGGGGGGUAGAAUUCCAGGUGUAGCGGUGAAAUGCGUAGAGAUCUGGAGGAAUACCGGUGGCGAAGGCGGCCCCCUGGACGAAGACUGACGCUCAGGUGCGAAAGCGUGGGGAGCAAAACAGGAUUAGAUACCCUGGUAGUCCACGCUGUAAACGAUGUCGAUUUUGGAGGUUGUGCCCUUGAGGCGUGGCUUCCGGAGCUAACGCGUUAAAUCGACCGCCUGGGGAGUACGGCCGCAAGG
This 549-nucleotide ribosomal RNA is filed under the name uncultured bacterium. Its description in RNAcentral is "partial 16S ribosomal RNA". It matches the Rfam family "Bacterial small subunit ribosomal RNA", at positions 355 to 893 of the family's 1533-position model. The record is from RNAcentral.